This 1389-nucleotide long non-coding RNA is filed under the name Malus domestica (apple). RNAcentral's name for it is "long non-coding RNA (MDOM_LNC016986)". The record is from RNAcentral. Lineage: Eukaryota; Viridiplantae; Streptophyta; Magnoliopsida; Rosales; Rosaceae.
AAUUCUAUGAGGGUCAGAUAGGGAGAAACUAAUGUUUUUCUUGUUACUUCUUGUUCUUGUUUUCUUUGUUUUGCUCGAGGACUAGCAAAAGUUAAGUGUGGGGGUAUUUGAUCGGAUGAUAUUUAUAUAUAUUUUACUUCAAAUUCACUCGUCUUUUCUUAGUUAGUUCCUUAUAUUUUUGAGUUAUUUACGUUAUUUUUGUGUUUAUAGGAUUUGUUAUGCAAAGAAAAUAAAAAUAGAACAAGUGAAAUUUUAUGUAAUAAAUUCGUCAAAACUGUCUGUGUAGAUCAGCUUUUAAAUUAAAUUAAAAAAAAAUAUAAUAAUGAUAAGUCAUGAUGAUGUUUGAAACAUCAUCAUGAUGGUUUUGUUUUGUAGAAGAAAAGAAAGGAACAAACGGCAAAGAAGAAAAGAAAGAAGGAAUAAAGAAGAAAAGAAUAAAAAAAUAAACAAAAGAUUGAAGAAAGGCAUAAAAGCAAGAAAAGAAGAAUAAGAAGAAGUGGAUGGUGCACUGGCGGGGGGAGACUGACAGAAAAGAAAAGAAUAAGCAGAAACCUAGUGGGGGAAGCUUAGCUGCCCUUGCAGCCUUGAAAAACGAAAAGCAGAAAAUAAAAGGGAAGUCAGUACGGGACAGCAAAGGCAGGUGGGAGAAGAAAGGCUGCCCUUGGCAGCGUGAUAAAGGCAGGAGGGCAGGCUGUCGAGGGGGGAGCGGAAAAGACGGAAGAAAAAUAAAGAAGCAGCUGAGCUGCCUUGCGGUGUGGAGACUGGGAGGAGAAAAGAGAAAAGCAGCAAGGCUGCCAGAAGGAAAGGAGAAGAUGCGGGGAGAGAGUAGCAUGUGAAAAGAAGAGGACAGGGCGCCAGGGAGCAUGUGAGAGGACAGCAGUGGGCUGUCUUGGCAGCCCAGAGGAGUGACUCGGAAGGAGAAAACGUGAGCUGGAGAAGGGGUCAGGAGGAGAAUAAAAGGAGAAGUGGGAGGCUGCUUUGAGGGGGAAUUGGUGGAAGGCAGAGGGCUGCCCUUUGGGCAGCGUGAAGCUGCGGAGAGAAGGGAAGGGGGAAGCUGCCCUUUGGCAGCGAGGUCAGAUAGCGCAGGAAAAGAGAGGUCAGGAGGUCAGCUCGCAGAGGCAGGAGAGGAGAUAGACACGGGGAGAAGGGAGACUGACGGGCACAGUGAGAAGAAAAUUAGAGGCUUCACUCCAUUUCUCUCGGUUUAAUUUUUCCAAACUUCUCAUUUAUUUCUGUUUUUAAUAAUGUGUAAUUAAAUUUAUGUUGGUUAGAGGUUAAUUCGAAACCAUGAUUAUAUUUGUAAUAUGAAUUGAUUACCUUCAGUUGUGAGUUAUAAGUUGUGAAUUCAAUUUACUUAUCCGUUCGUAUAAAAACUGAUUUGUGUAUGUU